CCGCGGCCCUGCGGCGGCAGCAGGGUGAGCUGCGACUUGGGUCGUUAUUUUGGUUUUGUUGUUGUUUUGGUUUAGUCUAGAUACAGUAAACACUGGCAGAAGCUCUGGAGCCAAAGACAAAUCUGUGACAUUGCUGAAGAGUUUCUUCUCUGCAGGACGAUGAGGCGUCGUGAAUUACCGCAGCUGGAGCUGUCAAGGAUUUAGCUCCAAGGAAAGAAAAUGGGGAGCAUGAGUACUUCAAGGGAAACCAUCAGCCCCUGUCUUCAUACAGGUCUGCUCAACACGAAGUGAUACCUACUCUGACUUCUCUGAGCUGAAUUGAUGCUGCAUAUGGUCAUGAUCACUGGGAAUUAAUAACAUUCCCUGAGACACAGAAAAAGGUUACUGAAGAGGAAUUAAUUAAGAAACUGCAAGGAAGGAAAGACUGGACGUUUCUUAAUGAUUGAUAUUCUGAUUAAAGGAGACACAGUAGAUUGAAUCUUUCAGGACUUCACUAUAACAUCUGUGUUGUACCAAGUUGGAAAUUACUUUUUAAACUGAAAGAGAUGGAAAAAUUAAAGGACAAAAAUCCAAACCACACAGUCAAUGACAAACAGAUGCUAGAUUCACUAACUUAAACUGCAGCAAUUCUGUUCCAAGAAUUAGUGAUACAAAGAAUUCUGUGGCCAGAAGUGAAAGGAAUGAACAGUGUGUCCUCUUGAUGAGAAAAUAAGAAUUGUUCCUAAAUUGGAUAGAACAGUGCUACAACAAUGUAUGAUGUGUUAACUCAAACUGUAUUUACAAAGUUAAAAUAGUAGUUGAUUUUGUAUUUUCCUUAUGUAUUCUUAUAGGCUAGCAAAACCCAAGCAUUUAUUUUAAGGGUUACGUAGGUGCGUUCCUUGUGAAUACUGGUGUGUAGGUUAUUUAUGGAUGUACCAAUAAACAACUUUUAAAAGUCAAAAACUUUUUUUCAUAAUGUGUGACCGUUUUUCAAGAUAACAAACUCCUCUCCUGCUCUUUUUACCAAACCUUCAAAUAGUGGAUAUCGUACUGGGUUACAUGGGGAGGUCAAUGAAAAAAGGUGGAAACUAACCUCACUGCAAUGCAAUUAAGUUUGUAUUUGGUUAAAUGUAGUUGUUUUCUGUCCGUACUAAUUCUUCGUUGUCCUUCCAUUGUAGGAUUUUCAAUUUAAAAAUGUUUAGUUGUUUUAUUAGACUAUUACUUGCUGAUCUGUACUGUAAUACUGUGUGAUAUAAUUCUUCACCGGGGAUAUUUAAGUUUCUUAUAUUCAAAAAUAUAUAAUUGGGGCAUAAAUGCUUUGGACUAGAAGCGACACUUAGUAAAAUCAGCUCAUUUUUUUGAGACUAGUGUCUUUAGAAACCUAAAGGAAUGGAGACAAACAGUACUACAUAAUAGAUUCUGAUAAGAUUGGAGGACAUAACCCAACAAUAGCUGAUGAAAAGUUCAAUAACUCGCUUUCUGCAUAUAAUUUGUCUAAAAACAAAGGAGAGAGAUGUGAAGCUAACAUGAUAGCUGAGUAGCUAUAGUUGAAUGUUUUGACUUCACUUCAGUAAAGUUAGUGGGCUACAGAAGUUCCUAAAGAUGAAGAAAGAGCAUAUUUUUCCCAUAUGUUUUUGAAGUUUCAAAUGAACAAUAUAGUAUAUAUCUUUCUGAACUCCCCUCUUUUCUUACCCCAGAGACACUCCUACUGUGACUGAAUUUUUGUUAAUAAUGAAGUUAUUGUUGAAUAUCUUGACAGUUAGCUCUGCACUCCUUUUUUUUCUUUUUCUUUCUUUUUUUUUUUUCCUUAAACCAACACAGCUAGAUAUUCAGCAAUGGAGAGAUUGGAGAGAUUGUGCAAGGGGAAAGUUUGAAGAAAGAUGAGUGAAUUGAUGAGAUUUUAGAUCACACUUUACAUAUAAAUGAACACUUUGUUAAUCUGUAUAAGCUUUCAUAUCAGGAACAUCUUAAAGGGAGCAAAUUCCACAGAUAAAUUCUGCAGUAUGUAAAAAAGUACUUCUGAAGGUACACUUCUGAAAGCACAAGAGGCUUUGCUAGACUGGAGAGGGAGUAAUCCAUGAGUUCUUUCUUUUCAAUUUUAAUAUACCUAGUUUUUCAAAUCUUUCCUAGAAAACAUUCUGCUGACUAACUGGUGCAUAUAGCAAUCUGGGCCUAAUAUAGGGCUUGCUCCAUAUAUAUAUGUGUGUGUAUGUAUGUAUAUAUACAUACAUAACUUAGAUAAUAAUUUAGUUAGCAUUCUUUUUUUAGUUCAUUGGAAAUCUUAAUAUAAAUGAUAUUGUUAGGAUUGACAUGUGAGGACUGAAGCUGAAUAGACUGGUGAUUUUAAAGGACUGACAUUUUGUAUUGUAGCACUCCAGCAUUCAUACGUUGGCAAAGAUGCUUUAUAUAUUCAAAUUCUACAUAAAUUGCAUACAAAAUGAAGUCCUUUCAUAUGUCAGUAUGCCACCUAUGGCUGUAAUUAUAGCAGUGUGCGCACGUCACGUUAAUAACAUGGAGGAAAUCUGAAGUACCACAGGAUUCUCUUCUAUUUGCCAUAAUUGCUGUGAUUAGUAAAAAGGCAGAAAAAGCAUUUUCUUAGUCCAUCCAAAUAUGUUAUACAGUAUUUAAGAAAUGAGAGUUACACAUAGUUGCUUUUCUCAGUAAACUGUGAAGUUCAGCAGGGGUCUUGCUAAAAUGAUGCCUAUAUCCUCUCCCAUUCUGCUUUACAAGUGAAAUCAGGCUCUUUGCCAGGUUGGUAGAGGUCAUAGGAAUGUCCUUGUCAUCACAGAGGUAUUUCUCUAAAGAGUUUUUCUAUUCCUGUAUCAUUUAUUCCCUGAUCCUUUCAAAGACAGUAAAUUGCAGGGUGCAGUCAUGACAUUUGUGAAUGGGCAACUUGCUUUUGUUCUUCCAUCAGGUAUGUGGGUGGGAGAAACAACAAGAUAAGCUGCAGUAAAGUCCUACUGGCUCACUUAAAAAUAAAACCAAAUAAAUAAAUAAAAAUUUUGUAACCAAAGAGAGUUUCCUACAUGUGCUUAUCAUGUUCUGUGUAUGAUUGUGCCAUGUGUAAAUUGCCUUCACUCCUACUCACUGCAAAUGAAAGUUAGCGUAUUAUCCUAACUUAUGAUCGUAUUGAAAUUGAAUUUAUGUGUGAAGAAAAUCUAAUAUGCACUAUCUGAAGUCAUGAAUCCAAUCAUGCAAUUACAUAAGAAUUUUGAGAAGUUUCCAUUUUUAUCACUCUUUUUUUCAUCUUAGCGGUUCUGCUACUCAUUUUUCCUGGGACAUGUACCUGUAGCUGCCAGCAAUUAGUUACUGUCUUGCAAGUGUUCCUUCAUGGUGUAUCUGUUCAAACUGAUUUAAAAUGGUUAUAUCUGAAAAUCCUUGACCUCAGAUCCUUACUCCAGUGUACCAAGUUAUUUAUGGUGUAGAAUGGAAUUAAAAAAAGUUUCAUUUGUUCAUUUAAUCAGGAAGUUCAUCAUAGUUCUGAUUUUGAUGUAUACCAUCAGUCGUGUUAGAAUGACAGGCUGCUUUGAUUUGAGGGCUUCCAAUACCUCUGAGGGCUUUUUCUGUCACACAUACUGUAAUUCUGUAGUAAACAGAGAAUCACUGGAUUAUACCUGUUGUACAGAGUUUCUGCGCAGACCUUGUUUCCCUUUAUUAAGAACCACUGAGAUAUAUACAAUCAAAUUUAAGUCAAAAUGUCAGGAAUUGUUACAAUAAAUGAGAAUAAUAGCAAUAGCUGCUUCUUGAGGUUUUGAGGCAUUAAACUGUGUCAGUGGAUCUUUUUCUGUAUGUGUAUCAGUAAAAUUCUAAUAGGUUUUUAACUACAUGGCUCUGUUAUUUUCACUAUCUCAUUUUAUCAGUUGGCACAAUGUCAGUGUGGGUAGGUGGUAUGGGAAUAAUGCUAAUAAAGAAAUGUUUGGAAAAAGAAAUUGGUUUUGCAAAUUACUUCAAAAGCAGUAAUAGCAUUAAAAACCUG
Long non-coding RNA from Rhea pennata, 3955 nucleotides. RefSeq lists it as uncharacterized. The transcript is spliced from 5 exons. The record is from RefSeq and is a predicted model, not a curated record. Lineage: Eukaryota; Metazoa; Chordata; Aves; Rheiformes; Rheidae.